RNAcentral lists this long non-coding RNA (482 nucleotides) under Elaeis guineensis (African oil palm). RNAcentral's name for it is "long non-coding RNA (EGUI_LNC066777)". The record is from RNAcentral. Lineage: Eukaryota; Viridiplantae; Streptophyta; Magnoliopsida; Arecales; Arecaceae.
ACCCCUGAUAAUAUCAGGGACCAAACCAUCUCGACGAUUAGGUCAACUCUUAACCUAAUCGGGUCAAACCCAACUGAAUCCAAUUCAAUUGGACUUGAUCCAAAAUUAAUUACAUAAUCAAAUUGAGUUAAUUAGUGAUCAAAUCAUUAAUUAAACCUCUCAUAAAUAUUGAGUCCAAAUCCGAUGGGUAAUCAGGCAUCAGAAUUCAUCGAUAUGUAACCCUGAUCGAAGAGUCCUAAACCAAUGGGACUCUUGACCCCGGUACCCAAAAUGUGUGGAAUUCAUGAUCAGAGAAUCUUGAUUCUCGAUCACAGAAUCUCAGACAUGAAGGACUCUUAGUCCAUGAGCAUUAGGACUCUUCAUCAGCCAUCAGAUCAGAUAGGAAUCUCUAAUGUGUAUGACCCCGCAGGUUCGAACCUAAGUCGGUAGCACAGGAAUCAAUUUCUGUACUAAUCAAAGUGACUAUCUAGCAAUGGUACCCG